Molecule: ribosomal RNA, 1371 nt
Filed under: uncultured bacterium
Lineage: Bacteria
Description: bacterial SSU rRNA
Rfam family: Bacterial small subunit ribosomal RNA
Source: RNAcentral
GAUGAACGCUGGCGGCGUGCCUAAUACAUGCAAGUCGAGCGAACGGACGAGAAGCUUGCUUCUCUGAUGUUAGCGGCGGACGGGUGAGUAACACGUGGAUAACCUACCUAUAAGACUGGGAUAACUUCGGGAAACCGGAGCUAAUACCGGAUAAUAUUUUGAACCGCAUGGUUCAAAAGUGGAAGACGGUCUUGCUGUCACUUAUAGAUGGAUCCGCGCUGCAUUAGCUAGUUGGUAAGGUAACGGCUUACCAAGGCAACGAUGCAUAGCCGACCUGAGAGGGUGAUCGGCCACACUGGAACUGAGACACGGUCCAGACUCCUACGGGAGGCAGCAGUAGGGAAUCUUCCGCAAUGGGCGAAAGCCUGACGGAGCAACGCCGCGUGAGUGAUGAAGGUCUUCGGAUCGUAAAACUCUGUUAUUAGGGAAGAACAUAUGUGUAAGUAACUGUGCACAUCUUGACGGUACCUAAUCAGAAAGCCACGGCUAACUACGUGCCAGCAGCCGCGGUAAUACGUAGGUGGCAAGCGUUAUCCGGAAUUAUUGGGCGUAAAGCGCGCGUAGGCGGUUUUUUAAGUCUGAUGUGAAAGCCCACGGCUCAACCGUGGAGGGUCAUUGGAAACUGGAAAACUUGAGUGCAGAAGAGGAAAGUGGAAUCCAUGUGUAGCGGUGAAAUGCGCAGAGAUAUGGAGGACCACCAGUGGCGAAGGCGACUUUCUGGUCUGUAACUGACGCUGAUGUGCGAAAGCGUGGGGAUCAAACAGGAUUAGAUACCCUGGUAGUCCACGCCGUAAACGAUGAGUGCUAAGUGUUAGGGGGUUUCCGCCCCUUAGUGCUGCAGCUAACGCAUUAAGCACUCCGCCUGGGGAGUACGACCGCAAGGUUGAAACUCAAAGGAAUUGACGGGGACCCGCACAAGCGGUGGAGCAUGUGGUUUAAUUCGAAGCAACGCGAAGAACCUUACCAAAUCUUGACAUCCUUUGACAACUCUAGAGAUAGAGCCUUCCCCUUCGGGGGACAAAGUGACAGGUGGUGCAUGGUUGUCGUCAGCUCGUGUCGUGAGAUGUUGGGUUAAGUCCCGCAACGAGCGCAACCCUUAAGCUUAGUUGCCAUCAUUAAGUUGGGCACUCUAAGUUGACUGCCGGUGACAAACCGGAGGAAGGUGGGGAUGACGUCAAAUCAUCAUGCCCCUUAUGAUUUGGGCUACACACGUGCUACAAUGGACAAUACAAAGGGCAGCGAAACCGCGAGGUCAAGCAAAUCCCAUAAAGUUGUUCUCAGUUCGGAUUGUAGUCUGCAACUCGACUACAUGAAGCUGGAAUCGCUAGUAAUCGUAGAUCAGCAUGCUACGGUGAAUACGUUCCCGGGUCU